CAAAUUGGGAAAUUACGCCAACAACUAAUGCAUUGAGGACAUAUCCGAAGCAGAUGACGGAGAAGACAAAAUACCUAUUAUGUCAAUAAUUGAAGGACUUAUUCAACUUGCACCAUUGCAAUUAUUGCAACCAAAAAGAAGAUAUUCCUACAGUUUAUCUUCCACCUACUAUGGAAAAAGACAAAGAAGAAGAAGAAGACAAAGAGCAAAAUAAAGACUAAAAGUGCUUUGUAAAAAGUCUAGUAAUUUUCAAAAAAUGUAGUAUUUUAGUUUAGUCUUGUUAGGCUAGUAUUUUAGUCUUAUUAGGCUAGUAUUUUUCAAGAAAAGUGUUUGUCAUGUU
RNAcentral lists this long non-coding RNA (340 nucleotides) under Nicotiana benthamiana. RNAcentral's name for it is "long non-coding RNA (NBEN_LNC034244)". Lineage: Eukaryota; Viridiplantae; Streptophyta; Magnoliopsida; Solanales; Solanaceae. The record is from RNAcentral.